UAAACACCAACUUCUCAAGCCAUGAAUGCAUCACUAGUGAUUCCACACUAGUAUCACCCUAGUUUCGAAGUGCCUCCUAAAGAGAAGAAAGGACUUGUCUUUCAAAGUGUUAUGCAACUUAUAAAUAUCAUCCAAGUCUAAGUCUAAAUGACUUAAAAUGUUCUAUAUAUACUAGGUUACAAAAAUUGUGUAAAAUAUUCAAGAUGGUCCCUUAGUCAAAGUCUUCAAGUGGGCGCCCUUAAAGUGUAGUUUGUGGACUAUUUUGGAGCCUAUUUAUGCCUUUCUUUGCACUUCACUUGCAUGCUCCAAGUUUCGGGUUCAAUACACCUCACAUAUGUCCACCUUCGUGGUCGUACUCGUAUCAUCCUCUCAUUUUUGAAAAAGGAUUCGACCUCGAAUCCAUGCCUUGUGUUUUGAUGAAAAAUUUGACUUUUUGAGAGAGUCGCCACUUAAUUUUAAAAAGGAAUUAAGAAACCUUUGUAAAAUACUUAGACGAUUCAAAACAGGAAAAUCGUUUAAGUUAGAGAUUCUAGAUAAGUGGUUCCUAUUAACAUUUUAAGAAGGUGUUAGGCACCUAAAACGUCCGUUAACUGACGGUUAUCCGAUCUGUUUGAAAACAUUCUUUUGACUAACUUCAAAAGAAGAUUGAUUUUUGAAAAAAAACUCGAUUUUAGCGAUGUUUUGAAGUUUAUGCAAAACUAGUUUUUAGCGACUUGACUAAGGGAUUAACUAGGUUAGCAAGAAACAUGUAAACAAGAAGGAAAAAGGAUAGAGGAAAGGGGAGAAGUAGUGAUUUAGGCUUUUAAGCCCAAACCGUCGUCCCUGUCCUAAUCUAGUUUUCGAGUUUUUAGCUCGAAUUUUGCUCCACCUGUAUUAAGUACAACUUUGGCUUCGAGGCCCGAAUAAAUGAAUAAGCAAAUAAAUAAACAAGUAAAGACGACAAUAAGUAAAUAAAUAAAAUAACAAAUGAAAUUUUGAAUCUUGUAGCCGCUUCAAAUGUGGGACUCUAACCCAUUCUUCUCCUUUUGAUUCCUUGCAUUAGUAUUGUGCCAUAAGAUUGAUGUAAUCGCUUUUAGAUCCUCUAAAGGAUGGGCCUCCAUGGCCCGUUGCGUAACGCAAGGAAAAAGAACCCAAUUGGACUCCCAAAGUAGGUCAUGCAAAAAGAAAAGAAAAAGAAUCAGUAUCUAUCCAAAGGUGUCACGUGACAUAAUGUGGAAGCAAAUGGCCCAAAGUUUCUAGAAUUAAAUCAAACAUUCCAACUACAACAAAUCUAGCAACACGUGAGAGCAAUAUCACUGGAGAAAAGAGCUAUUGGUGAAGACAAAACUAUAAUGACAAAGUGUACCAAAAAUGAUAGAAUUAGAUUAGGAAAAAAUUUCACUUUAUCAAACUUAUUAGCUUGCAACUGUGGUUCAACCAAAUUUUGACCUCUUUUUAAUUGAGAAGGGGAAGAUAGGGAGAAGGAAACCAAGUAGAUUAUUCGAUCAUAUAAUGAAUUAAAGGGUCUAAUAUGAUUAAUGAUCUGGAAUCACCACAAAGCAACACCAAACUAGAACAUGGGAUUUGAUUUUCCACUAAGACUUGAAACGUUAGGAUAUGGGUCAAAAAUAUUUUUUUUUAAUCGGUAAACUGAAGAAAAUUUCAAUCCAAAUUUUGAAUAGGAGCAAAAGUGUGUUGAGGACGAAGAAACCUUUAACCGUGAAAAGAAAAUUUCGUUCACUUGACAUAAUGUUAAAGAAAGGAACGCAAGGUUAAAGGAAGGAAACUUUCAGCUACAGGGGUGUCACUAUGGAUUUUUUUUUCAGCAACUAAGCAACAGAAACAUAACUUAUUCGUAGAAGAACAGUAAAACUGGCAUUGUGACACCAGGAUACAAAGCAAUUAGUUAAAUAUGUAACACCCCGUAUUCAAGUACGUGUAUUGGCGUAUUCAAGUACGUGUAUUGGUCUUAUUUAUAUGGAAUUAAUUUUAUUUAUACCGGAAUUUGCCCGUCGAUGGUUCCAUACGAAGUUUAUUGAAUAAAAUUUCCAACGAUAUAAAGAUUUCCAAAAAUGGAUAGGUUUCGGAUAUAAUCGAACACGUUCGAAACUAUAAAACGGUGGCCGGGAUAUUUGGGAAUAGUAAAUGUGCAGGAAAAUUUCCUGCACACAAACUACUGAAGCCAGCCAAUUUUUUUGGUCAACUUUGAACGAUCAUAACUCCCUUAAUAUAAUGAGCUGGGAGAUCUGCGACCUAUGAAAAGAAAGAUCUUUGAGUCUUCUUUCCAAUGCAAUUGGUUUCAUCCAAAUCCAACGUCUGAGUAAGGAACUCCUUGUACAGGACGAACUGGGUGGCCUACUUUAUAUGAAAUGAAAUCCCUUUGAAUUAUCUUUCCAACGAUACUAAUUUCACCCAAAUCCAAUAUCGGAGCAAAGAGUUAUGGUCGAUCUACUUUAGCUUAUCAAAACAGUCCACCAAAGGACAGAUUUGACAUUAUUUAAAUUUUAAAGGCACUUUGGUCAUUCCCUAUGAUAUUAUGGACGGGAAUAUGUGUAUAUAUACAUGUAUAUGAGUUUAAAAACUCAUUUUCAUCAUCAAUCAUUGAGAAAGAACAAACCCUAGCCAAAUUUGACCUUUAAAUUACUUUUGAUUCAACCGUAGAAAUUCCAAAGUAAUCCGAUAACUGCAUUUGUCAUCUCGAGAGCUUCGAACGGCACCUAUUAUUUGUGUAAACAGGAUUGCAUAAUCAAGAGGUGAAUUCUAAGGUAUGAAUAUUGUUUGCCUUUGUUCUCUUCCAUAUGUAUAUGUGUGAUCAAUCAUUGAGAAAGAACAAAACCUAGCCAAAUUUGACCUUUAAAUUACUUUUGAUUCAACCGUAGAAAUUCCAAAGUAAUCCGAUAACUGCGUUUGUCAUCUCGAAAGCUUCAAACGGCACCCAUUAUUUGUGCAAACAGGAUUGGAUAAUUAAGAGGUGAAUUCUAAGGUAUGAAUAUUGUUUGCCUUGUUCUUUUCCAUAUGUAUAUGUGUGAUAGAGGAUUAUAUGUAUUGGUUGUUAUUGAAAGGUGAUGGAAAUAGGGUUAUGGACUAUUUUGCAUGGUUUGGUUGUAUUGAAUUGUGGAAGGUGGAUGUGGUAAUUGGGUUAUGGAAGGUGGAUAUGGUAAUUGAGUUAUGGAAGGUGGAUAUGGUAAUAUACUAUUGAAUUGAUGAUUAUUUAUGUCUAUGGCUCAAUUUGGUUUAAUGGAUUGGUUGGAAGGAUAAAUGAAUCCAAACUUGAUAUUGGAGGAUGUUGUAUGAAUAUGCAUGGCAUGUGAAUGUAAUUGGAGUAUAAGAGGGUUAAAGUGACACCCUUUAUGGUGUAAUUAAGGCUUACUACUUAACCACUAGUUUGGUGAAUUCAAAUAAUUGAAUUGUGACGUU
This 3396-nucleotide long non-coding RNA is filed under the name Capsicum annuum. RNAcentral describes it as "long non-coding RNA (CANN_LNC001351)". Lineage: Eukaryota; Viridiplantae; Streptophyta; Magnoliopsida; Solanales; Solanaceae. The record is from RNAcentral.